Molecule: non-coding RNA, 99 nt
Organism: Mycena olivaceomarginata
Lineage: Eukaryota; Fungi; Basidiomycota; Agaricomycetes; Agaricales; Mycenaceae
Source: the annotation of a GenBank genome assembly
UCGGAUGUGGUGCAUGGAACACCGUCGGGUAUCAUGGGUCUUGUUCUGUGUAGGACAAAAAUUAACCGGCAGUUCGGGGUUCGACUCCCCGCAUCCGAU